RNAcentral lists this transfer RNA (72 nucleotides) under Chthonomonadaceae bacterium. It matches the Rfam family "tRNA". From Rfam's summary of the family: Transfer RNA (tRNA) molecules are approximately 80 nucleotides in length. The record is from Rfam by way of RNAcentral. Lineage: Bacteria; Bacillati; Armatimonadota; Chthonomonadia; Chthonomonadales; Chthonomonadaceae.
GCCGAUGUGGCUCAGAGGCAGAGCAGCUGUUUCGUAAACAGCGGGUCAGCGGUUCGAUUCCGCUCAUCGGCU